GACGGGUGAGUAACAUGUAGGUAUCUACCCUAUGGCCUGGAAUAACACGAGGAAACUUGUGCUCAUACUGGAUAAGUCUUUACGGAGAAAGCUUUAUGCACCAUUGGAUGAGCCUGCACUUGAUUAGUUCGUUGGUGGGGUAAUGGCCUACCAAGACUGUGAUCAAUAGCUGAUUUGAGAGGAUGAUCAGCCACAUUGGGACUGAGACACGGCCCAAACUCCUACGGGAGGCAGCAGUGGGGAAUCUUGCACAAUGGAGGAAACUCUGAUGCAGCGAUGCCGCGUGAGUGAAGAAGGCCCUUGGGUUGUAAAGCUCUUUCGUCGGGGAAGAAAAUGACUGUACCCGAAUAAGAAGGUCCGGCUAACUUCGUGCCAGCAGCCGCGGUAGUACGAAGGGACCUAGCGUAGUUCGGAAUUACUGGGCUUAAAGAGUUCGUAGGUGGUUGAAAAAGUUAGUGGUGAAAUCCCAGAGCUUAACUCUGGAACUGCCAUUAAAACUUUUUAGCUAGAGUAUGAUAGAGGAAAGCAGAAUUUCUAGUGUAGAGGUGAAAUUCGUAGAUAUUAGAAAGAAUACCAAUUGCGAAGGCAGCUUUCUGGAUCAUUACUGACGCUGAGGAACGAAAGCAUGGGUAGCGAAGAGGAUUAGAUACCCUCGUAGUCCAUGCCGUAAACGAUGUGUGUUAGA
Molecule: ribosomal RNA, 685 nt
Filed under: uncultured Alphaproteobacteria bacterium
Lineage: Bacteria; Pseudomonadati; Pseudomonadota; Alphaproteobacteria
Description: bacterial SSU rRNA
Rfam family: Bacterial small subunit ribosomal RNA
Source: RNAcentral